RNAcentral lists this ribosomal RNA (484 nucleotides) under uncultured bacterium. RNAcentral describes it as "partial 16S ribosomal RNA". It matches the Rfam family "Bacterial small subunit ribosomal RNA", at positions 30 to 507 of the family's 1533-position model. The record is from RNAcentral.
AUUGAACGCUGGCGGCAGGCCUAACACAUGCAAGUCGAGCGGAUGAAGGGAGCUUGCUCCUGGAUUCAGCGGCGGACGGGUGAGUAAUGCCUAGGAAUCUGCCUGGUAGUGGGGGAUAACGUCCGGAAACGGGCGCUAAUACCGCAUACGUCCUGAGGGAGAAAGUGGGGGAUCUUCGGACCUCACGCUAUCAGAUGAGCCUAGGUCGGAUUAGCUAGUUGGUGGGGUAAAGGCCUACCAAGGCGACGAUCCGUAACUGGUCUGAGAGGAUGAUCAGUCACACUGGAACGGAGACACGGUCCCGACUCCUAAGGGAGGGCGCAGUGGGGAAUAUUUGACAAUGGGCGGAAACCUGGUCCAACCAGGGCGAGUUUGUGGAAGAGGUCCUCCGAUUGGAAAGCCCUUUUAGGUGGGAGGAAGGGCAGUAAGUUAAUACCUUGCUGGUUUGACGGUAACAACAAAAUAAGCACCGGCUAACUUCGUG